AUCUCUUUCCUCCCUCCCUCCUCAGAUCUGCUAAGGUAUCACGACCUUUAGUGACCUUAGUAAACUAGUGGGGAGGACUCGUUAACUAAUACACAGCGACAUCUUCAUCCUAAAACCAUGUCAACAACAAGCAUGAACCAAGGAAUGCUCUAAACUCUUACUCAAUUCAACUUAAGUUUGCACAUCUGUGAAGAAACUGAAGCCUUUAAAAGUAUUUCUCAUAAAAGCACACACAACUAAGAUCAUCAGCAUCAAGAAAGUAUCAAAGAAUUCUUCGAUAAAACUCAAGGAUCUAAAUUAUUGAGUAAAAACUGACAUUAGAAAGUAGUCUAUUUUAAAAACCAAUUUAUAUUGAUUUUAAAUCACUGUAAAGAUAAAUUUUAUCAAUUACAAAAGUUCAAAUUGCAUG
RNAcentral lists this long non-coding RNA (409 nucleotides) under Mus spicilegus (steppe mouse). RNAcentral describes it as "lncRNA (ENSMSIG00000001267.1)". Lineage: Eukaryota; Metazoa; Chordata; Mammalia; Rodentia; Muridae. The record is from RNAcentral.